This 685-nucleotide unclassified non-coding RNA is filed under the name Hevea brasiliensis (rubber tree). The record is from RNAcentral. Lineage: Eukaryota; Viridiplantae; Streptophyta; Magnoliopsida; Malpighiales; Euphorbiaceae.
CAAGAACAAACGAAAUUCCCUCCUCUCUCUCAGCCUGGUCAAAAAGAACAAUUUUUUAUUUUUCAAGUUCUGCACUUUUUCGUUGAAAAUCGAAGCGAGUCUUAUUUGAUUUGGAGUUUCAAGGUUCUUUCAAUAGCUCUUUUUCCUUGUCGAGAUAGGAGAUCCUCUUAGUAUAUCCUUUUCUUUCUUUUGGUGCAACACUUAGCCAUGGCUUGUUCAUUGAAUUGCACUUUCAGUAUCUCUAGGUUGAAUGUGACUAUUCUGAGCUCAAAAACACUAGAUGCUUCUGGGUUUUCUCCAUCUGUGGGUGCUAUAGGAAUUGGAGAAUCGAAAACCAAGGAUUCCCCUGUUUUGAGAAUCGAUUUCAUGGGCAAACCACUUGUUUUCCCAGAUCAAAUGGAUUCUAAAGAUUCGAUUACCAAAGCGCAAAGCAAUUUCUUUGUUCGUGCACAAGCUUCGAUCCGUGUGAGCAGAGCUCUCAGAUGGUGGGAGAAUACCCAUAAACCCAAUAUGCGAGAGAUCCAUUCCGCUCAAGAGCUUGUAUACUCCUUGCUUAAUGCUGGUGAUAAAUUGGUGAUUGUUGACUUCUAUUCUCCUGGUUGUGGAGGCUGCAAAGCCCUCCAUCCCAAGAUUUGUCAGCUGGCUGAAUCAAACCCCAACGCAGUUUUUCUAAAAGUAAACUAUG